CGGGUGCCGCGUUCGGAAUGAGUACGAUUCGAACCACCUAACGAGGAACGAUCGGAGGGCAAGUCUGGUGCCAGCAGCCGCGGUAAUUCCAGCUCCAAUAGCGUACGUUAAAAGUUGCUGCAGUUAAAAAGCUCGUAGUUGAACGUUCGGGUUCCGCGGGACGGGGCCGCCCCGCGAGGGACGGCGCCGCCCCGGGGCUCGUGAUAUCUCAUCUCGCCGCCCGUCGCGAGGCGGACGGAGGGAUGGAUGAGGUUACCUGGAAAAAAUCGGGGCGAUCUAGGCGGGCGAACCUCGCCAACGAACGAUCGGACAUGGGAUAACGGAAGAGGGCGUCGGCUCGACUUCGUCGGUUCCUCGGGCCGAGGCACGUACGGUGAAUAGGGACGGUCGGGGCCGCCCGUACCGGGUCGUGAGAGGUGAAAUUCUAGGAUCGACCCGAGACGAACCGACCGCGAAAGCAUUCGGCAAGGACGCUUUCAUUAAUCAAGAACGAAAAGUCGGGGGAUCGAAGACGAUCAGAUACCGUCGUAGUCCCGACCGUAAACGAUAGCCCUCCCGCCGAGAAA
RNAcentral lists this ribosomal RNA (566 nucleotides) under uncultured eukaryote. RNAcentral's name for it is "bacterial SSU rRNA". It matches the Rfam family "Eukaryotic small subunit ribosomal RNA", at positions 497 to 1058 of the family's 1831-position model. The record is from RNAcentral.